This 743-nucleotide non-coding RNA is filed under the name Protrigonometopus maculifrons. The record is from RNAcentral. Lineage: Eukaryota; Metazoa; Arthropoda; Insecta; Diptera; Lauxaniidae.
AUGCAAAUUUUUGUGUGGGAUGUUAUUUAUUUAAAAAGUAAAUAAUUUAUUUAUAUUCGCAGUAAUUAAUAUUAUAAAUUAAAGAAAUUUAGAAGUAGGUAUAUUAUUAAACAUUGGCAAAAUUUGUGCCAGCAGUCGCGGUUAUACAAAUGAUGUAAAAAAAUUUAUUUAAUAUUAGUUAAAUUGUUAAUUUUAAAAAUUAAAAAUAUUUAUUAGGUGAAAUUUUUUAUAUUUUUAACUUUAUAAUAUGAAUUAUUGAAGCUAACAAAUUUUAAUAGUAAACUAGGAUUAGAUACCCUAUUAUUUAAAAUGUAAAUUUAUAAAUUGAAGUAGUAAUAGAUAUGUUCUUGAAACUUAAAAAAUUUGGCGGUAUUUUAGUCUAUUCAGAGGAAUUUGUUCUGUAAUCGAUGAUCCCCGAUGGACCUUACUUAUAUUUGUUUAUCAGUUUAUAUACCGUCGUUAUUAGAAAGAAUAUUUUAAAAAAAUAAUAAUUUUCUUAAAUUUACAUUAAAACAUAUAUCAGAUCAAGGUGCAGCUUAUAUAUAAGUAGAAAUGAAUUACAAUAAAAUUAUUUAAACGAAUUUAAGAAUGAAAAACUUAAUGAAGGUGGAUUUGAUAGUAAAAUUAUAAAGAUUAAUGAUUUGAUUUUAGCUCUAAAAUAUGUACACAUCGCCCGUCGCUCUUAUUAUUAAGAUAAGAUAAGUCGUAACAUAGUAGAAGUACUGGAAAGUGUAUCUAGAAUG